Elaeis guineensis (African oil palm) is the source of this 1689-nucleotide long non-coding RNA. RefSeq lists it as uncharacterized. The record is from RefSeq and is a predicted model, not a curated record. NCBI's taxonomy places the organism in Eukaryota, Viridiplantae, Streptophyta, Magnoliopsida, Arecales, Arecaceae.
AUCUCUCUCGUGACAAGAAAUAGCAUGGGAGUAAAGAGCUGGAGGAGAGCCGGUCUAUUUAGCCAUCAGAAGCAUCUCUACUCCAUCCAAUCCAGAUGGCUAUUUUUUUUUUCUGGAUAAAACAUUAUUUUUUUUCUUUCUACAUGAUGAAUGCACGCCAUCAGUCCUCUCUCCUGCAUGACGUGGAUAGCCCAUGCUCCUUGCAUUGAGGAGGCUCUGGUCUCAACGGUUCAGUUGACACCUAUGUCCAUAAUUAGCUCCGGCUGGAUACGUCAGCGAUCAUACCAUGUGUCACGCGGGAAGAGUGCAGGGACGUGUUUUAAUGCAUAGGAUAGAUAACAGGACUGGCCUCAUGUGUGCCAUUAAGUUAAGCAACGUGCCAUUCUUGCGCAAAGUGGUCGUUAGGAUCCCUCGUUCUCCAAGGUAAAUACCGCCUCCUUUCUCCGCCCGCUACUCGUUUGCGAUGUUGCCUCUGAGACAAAGGGAGAGAUGAAGGCGCUGGGUUGUGGUUGAUGCUGGUGGGCUCGCUUCGUCUCGCCUCUAUCUGGUUCGGAUUCUUCGACAUCUGGGCUCUCCGCCUUGCUGUCUUCUCCCAAACCCAGAGUGUAUUCUCUCUUCCCCUCUCUCCUGACUGCCCCUAUUUCUCAAUAUAUCUCUUAUGAUGUACCUCUGACAUCCAUGGCCUGACGAAAUGGCUUCACAGUAGGUGCUUAGCUUCGUGCUACAUUUGCACAUUUGCGCAUCUGUACCUUUGGCUUUUGGCGAUUAAUCUUCGCAUACUCGGACGACAUUACUGAGUUGUUUGCAAAUCUGUGCCGCAUUUACUAUUUUGUAGUUCAGUAAUGCACCGUUGACCAAAAGUUUGAUUCUACUGAGUUAUAAUUCAGGGAAGUGGUUGUUGGAGUACGUGUUCUUGUUGCAUGACACAGUGUGUCAGUGAAUGCCAGAAGGCCCAAUGAUUGAAGCAACUUGAGAUGAAGUCUUUUUAGUUCAGAGCAAGGAGAUAGUCAAGUGAACUAAGAUGUAUUUGAGGUAGAAGCAGCGUUGGGAAUGAAUGCUUUAGUAAAGCUCAACCAACAAGUACCUCGCUGUCAUUUUUCUACCACAUCUUGGCAUUCCUAAAAUGUUUUCAGAUGGGCUAGCCCACUGAUAUAUGAAGUAGGCAAAACCAACCCAGCAAGCUAGCAUAAGGUAGACUCCACCAAAUUGUGCCCACAAGCGUGACCUGCUAGUACUGGUGUGGCAUGAAGUGGGAGCUGGUUAGGCUUUAUCCUGUGGAUAUGGAUCUAGCAACUUUCUGAGGGUACCUGAAAAGCAUAUUUAUCAACGUACUGUAACGUGAGAUCCAACUUUGGGGUACUGUAAUCUUUCAUCAUGUGCCCCAUCACAGUCAAAUGCUAGUCAUUUCAUAUCUCCUUUUACAGGCACAUCAAUUGUGUGGAUGUUAUUACAGUGGAAUGCACAUCAACCUCGGGCUACUUGAAAAGUCGAAUGAACCAUUUUCAUAUAAGACAGAUGUACUCAGAUACUUAUUAUACCAUUCUCUUUGUUAAUCUUGGCAGUGUACUCACCAUUGGCCAAGAUUAUUAUCACCUCGUACUCUUCCUUGACAUGCAUUUUCGGAGAUGUAAUUCCAAGAGAAUUUUCUUACAAAGUCUAAGACUUUUCAAUGAAUGCUGUCAUGCGUUU